GCGGUCAUGGCGGAAUGGCAGACGCGCCAGCUUGAGGGGCUGGUGGGGGUAACCCCGUGGAAGUUCGAGUCUUCUUGGCCGCA
This 83-nucleotide transfer RNA is filed under the name Enterococcus ureasiticus. RNAcentral's name for it is "tRNA-Leu". It matches the Rfam family "tRNA". From Rfam's summary of the family: Transfer RNA (tRNA) molecules are approximately 80 nucleotides in length. Their secondary structure includes four short double-helical elements and three loops (D, anti-codon, and T loops). Lineage: Bacteria; Bacillati; Bacillota; Bacilli; Lactobacillales; Enterococcaceae. The record is from RNAcentral.